GAUUAACGCUAGCGGGAGGCCUAAUACGUGCAAGGCGAGGGCGCAGCAAUGUGACCGCCGUACGGGUGCGUAACGCGUAUGCAACCUACCCAUCACAGGGGGACAGCCCAUGGAAACGUGGAUUAAUACCGCAUGAUGCAGAAUUACUACCUGGUGAUUUUGCUAAAGAUUUAUCGGUGAUGGAUGGGCAUGCGUCUGAUUAGCUAGUUGGUUGAGGUAACGGCUCACCAAGGCGACGAUCAGUAGGGGAGCUGAGAGGUUUUUCCCCCACACGGGCACUGAGAUACGGGCCCG
This 294-nucleotide ribosomal RNA is filed under the name uncultured bacterium. Its description in RNAcentral is "partial 16S ribosomal RNA". It matches the Rfam family "Bacterial small subunit ribosomal RNA", at positions 28 to 334 of the family's 1533-position model. The record is from RNAcentral.